ACGAACGCUGGCGGCAUGCCUAACACAUGCAAGUCGCACGAGACCUUCGGGUCUAGUGGCGCACGGGUGCGUAACGCGUGGGAACCUGCCCUUAGGUUCGGAAUAACUCCCCGAAAGGGGUGCUAAUACCGGAUAAUGUCUUCGGACCAAAGAUUUAUCGCCUUUGGAUGGGCCCGCGUUGGAUUAGCUAGUUGGUAGGGUAAAAGCCUACCAAGGCGACGAUCCAUAGCUGGUCUGAGAGGAUGAUCAGCCACACUGGGACUGAGACACGGCUCAGACUCCUACGGGAGGCAGCAGUGGGGAAUAUUGGACAAUGGGCGAAAGCCUGAUCCAGCAAUGCCGCGUGAGUGAUGAAGGCCUUAGGGUUGUAAAGCUCUUUUACCCGGGAUGAUAAUGACAGUACCGGGAGAAUAAGCUCCGGCUAACUCCGUG
Molecule: ribosomal RNA, 432 nt
Filed under: uncultured bacterium
Lineage: Bacteria
Description: partial 16S ribosomal RNA
Rfam family: Bacterial small subunit ribosomal RNA
Source: RNAcentral